GUUAAAUGAUCUAUAUCCGAGUUUAAGUGUUAUGUAGUUGACUUUGCCAUAUGUGGAGAUUCUUGAAUUUGUUAGAGAAGUGGAUUGUUAAUUUGUUAUCCUAAUAUUUCUACUGCUUAUCGGAUCUUAUUCACCAUGCCCGUGACUAUGGCAUCAGCUGAAAAAAGCUUUUCAAAGCUGAAAUAGUUGAAGAUCCAUUUGAGAUAUGUAACAUCUCUUUCUCCCGUUUCUAUUUCUCCCGCAAAGGCCUCUGUACCAGGCCGCCGCACACCGCCCUCCUUUCCCCGGCCUUCAUCCCACGAGGGCCUCCGCACCAGGCCCCCGCCGCCACCUCCUCUGCAUGAACUGCCGCCGCCCCCUCCCUCCUCCGUGGGAACCACUGCCACUACCUCCCUCCACCGUGUGAGCCGCUGCCACCUCCCUCCGCAAACCGAUGCCGCCUCCCUCCUCCGCGUGCACAGCUGCCGCCUCCCUCCGUGCUGCUGCGUCGGCGGCGAUGGAAGGAAGGUGGCGCUGGCUCCGGAGCGGGAGGGAAUAAGGGGGCGGGCAGCGCCGACAUCCGGACCUGGUGUUUCUGUUCAAGUGGGGGUGAUGUGCGGCGACGAAGGUGGACGUGCAGUUGGUGCUGGUUGGCCAAGAUGGGGUGGUUGUGUUUGCCCUUCUAUGUGUUGAUCACCACGGCAGCGUCCUGGUACGAGCUUUCCGCUUUCUUCACCGGGC
Molecule: long non-coding RNA, 720 nt
Filed under: Brachypodium distachyon (stiff brome)
Lineage: Eukaryota; Viridiplantae; Streptophyta; Magnoliopsida; Poales; Poaceae
Description: long non-coding RNA (BDIS_LNC002872)
Source: RNAcentral